Molecule: ribosomal RNA, 337 nt
Filed under: uncultured Bacillota bacterium
Lineage: Bacteria; Bacillati; Bacillota
Description: bacterial SSU rRNA
Rfam family: Bacterial small subunit ribosomal RNA
Source: RNAcentral
GAUGAACGCUGGCGGCGUGCCUAACACAUGCAAGUCGAGCGGAGCCACAGGGUGAUCCUUCGGGCGAUCCCUAUGACUUAGCGGCGGAUGGGUGAGUAACACGUGGGUAAUCUGCCCUGCACUGGGGGGAUAACAGUUGGAAACGACUGUUAAUACCGCAUAUGCACACGGGGCCGCAUGGCCCUGGGUGGAAAGAUUCAUCGGUGCAGGAUGAGCCCGCGUCGGAUUAACUAGUUGGCAGGGUAACGGCCUACCAAGGUGAUGAUCCGUAGCCGGCCUGAGAGGGCGACCGGCCACAUUGGGACUGAGACACGGCCCAAACUCCUACGGGAGGCUG